RNAcentral lists this ribosomal RNA (406 nucleotides) under uncultured bacterium. RNAcentral's name for it is "partial 16S ribosomal RNA". It matches the Rfam family "Bacterial small subunit ribosomal RNA", at positions 30 to 526 of the family's 1533-position model. The record is from RNAcentral.
AUUGAACGCUGGCGGCAGGCCUAACACAUGCAAGUCGAACGAGUGGCGGACGGGUGAGUAAUGUCUGGGAAACUGCCCUCCUUUUUGGGAUAAGCCUUGGAAACGGUAGCUAAUACCGCAUACCAUCGGAUGUGCCCAGAUGGGAUUAGCUAGUAGGUGGGGUAACGGCUCACCUAGGCGACGAUCCCUAGCUGGUCUGAGAGGAUGACCAGCCACACUGGAACUGAGACACGGUCCAGACUCCUACGGGAGGCAGCAGUGGGGAAUAUUGCACAAUGGGCGCAAGCCUGAUGCAGCCAUGCCGCGUGUAUGAAGAAGGCCUUCGGGUUGUAAAGUACUUUCAGCGAGGAGGCGUUACUCGCAGAAGAAGCACCGGCUAACUCCGUGCCAGCAGCCGCGGUAAUUC